Molecule: small RNA, 27 nt
Filed under: Bombyx mori (domestic silkworm)
Lineage: Eukaryota; Metazoa; Arthropoda; Insecta; Lepidoptera; Bombycidae
Description: piRNA piR-bmo-1903137
Source: RNAcentral
UCGAAUGGUGCUCACCUAAGUGCGAUC